Oncorhynchus keta (chum salmon) is the source of this 2545-nucleotide long non-coding RNA. RefSeq lists it as uncharacterized. The transcript is spliced from 4 exons. Lineage: Eukaryota; Metazoa; Chordata; Actinopteri; Salmoniformes; Salmonidae. The record is from RefSeq and is a predicted model, not a curated record.
ACCAAGCCCUCUCAGAAAGUAGUUUCGGUGGGCUCUCCCGGGGGGUGUAAUGCUCUGAUUGUCCACCAGAGGUUACAAUGUCCUCUUUAUUAGUAGUUUCGGUGGGCUCUCCCGGGGGUGUAAUGCUCUGAUUGUCCACCAGAGGUUACAAUGUCCUCUUUAUUAGUAGUUUCGGUGGGCUCUCCCGGGGGUGUAAUGCUCUGAUUGUCCACCAGAGGUUACAAUGUCCUCUUUAUUAGUAGUUUCGGUGGGCUCUCCCGGGGGUGUAAUGCUCUAAUUGUCCACCAGAGGUUACAAUGUCCUCUUUAUUAGUAGUUUCGGUGGGCUCUCCCAGGGGGUGUAAUGCUCUGAUUGUCCACCAGAGGUUACAAUGUCCUCUUUAUUAGUAGUUUCGGUGGGCUCUCCCAGGGGGUGUAAUGCUCUGAUUGUCCACCAGAGGUUACAAUGUCCUCUUUAUUAGUAGUUUCGGUGGGCUCUCCCAGGGGGUGUAAUGCUCUAAUUGUCCACCAGAGGUUACAAUGUCCUCUUUAUUAGUAGUUUCGGUGGGCUCUCCCAGGGGGUGUAAUGCUCUGAUUGUCCACCAGAGGUUACAAUGUCCUCUUUAUUAGUAGUUUCGGUGGGCUCUCCCGGGGGUGUAAUGCUCUGAUUGUCCACCAGAGGUUACAAUGUCCUCUUUAUUAGUAGUUUCGGUGGGCUCUCCCGGGGGUGUAAUGCUCUGAUUGUCCACCAGAGGUUACAAUGUCCUCUUUAUUAGUAGUUUCGGUGGGCUCUCCCGGGGGUGUAAUGCUCUGAUUGUCCACCAGAGGUUACAAUGUCCUCUUUAUUAGUAGUUUCGGUGGGCUCUCCCAGGGGGUGUAAUGCUCUGAUUGUCCACCAGAGGUUACAAUGUCCUCUUUAUUAGUAGUUUCGGUGGGCUCUCCCGGGGGUGUAAUGCUCUGAUUGUCCACCAGAGGUUACAAUGUCCUCUUUAUUAGUAGUUUCGGUGGGCUCUCCCAGGGGGUGUAAUGCUCUGAUUGUCCACCAGAGGUUACAAUGUCCUCUUUAGUUGACUGUGGCUUCAAUGAUUCACCAGUAAUUGUCUGAGGUGAACUUAUCCUCUUUUCCUCGGGUAGAUAGUCAAAGUUCCAAACUCACUUUACACGCGCAGCUGCAGACUGCCAGGGUCCUGGUCCGGUGAGUUCAUUUUCUUCACCUCUUGUUGAGAGUUUCAAAGUUUCUAACCAUUUCAACGUGUGGUUCACGGUCUCACGUAUUUUGGUCUGGUAUGUUAAUUCUUAGCCAGUCAUUGUAAGCACUCUGGUCGGAAAGGGUGGUUCCAUCACACUGAUCCGCUCUUCUGACCUCAUUCGGGCCGUGGCUAUUUAAUGUGCAGAGGACAUGGGGUGGUUCCAUCACACUGAUACGCUCUUCUGACCUCAUUCGGGCCGUGGCUAUUUAAUGUGCAGAGGACAUGGGGUGGUUCCAUCACACUGAUACGCUCUUCUGACCUCAUUCGGGCCGUGGCUAUUUAAUGUGCAGAGGACAUAGGGUGGUUCCAUCACAUUGAUACGCUCUUCUGACCUCAUUCGGGUCGUGGCUAUUUAAUGUGCAGAGGACAUAGGGUGGUUCCAUCACACUGAUACGCUCUUCUGACCUCAUUCGGGUCGUGGCUAUUUAAUGUGCAGAGGACAUGGGGUGGUUCCAUCACACUGAUCCGCUCUUCUGACCUCAUUCGGGCCGUGGCUAUUUAAUGUGCAGAGGACAUGGGGUGGUUCCAUCACACUGAUACGCUCUUCUGACCUCAUUCGGGCCGUGGCUAUUUAAUGUGCAGAGGACAUGGGGUGGUUCCAUCACACUGAUACGCUCUUCUGACCUCAUUCGGGCCGUGGCUAUUUAAUGUGCAGAGGACAUGGGGUGGUUCCAUCACACUGAUACGCUCUUCUGACCUCAUUCGGGUCGUGGCUAUUUAAUGUGCAGAGGACAUGAAAAACCAUUAUCCUAUUAGAAAAACAAAAUCACAUUCCUAUCUUAACAACACUACUUUCAUCAUUCUUCAUAUUGUAUUCACAAUGUAUUGGAUAGAAACUUGACAGCCAAAAGAGGGUUCGUUCCUAAGUUACAGUAUUUGGUUCACAGAGUUUUUAAUAACAUCAUAAAAUGAAAAGCAAUAUGACAUGAUUAUUAUUCUUUAGCUCCCCACUGACCAUUCUUAACAUUCAUAUCUUAGAAAUAUUGUUCCAAUAUUCACUUUCUUUUGGAAGUUACUGUUUUGGCGGAAAAAGUACUCUUUAGACGAAAGGGACAUUUCUUUACCAAUACUGAAGAGAAAGAGGGAGAUUCCCCUCCUACCUAAUUUACAGAGAGUUAAGGUGUCAAAACCACCCCCCUCCCUCCUCUUCUGCGGGUGAUGAGAGGGGUCUGGUCAAUGUCAGCCAUUUGCCAAGCUGAUCUGAGGCCUUGGAUCCUCAGCCAGGAGAGUCAUGAGGAGGCCAAACGAUAGCCACUCCUCAGUGAAAGGCACAUGACAGCCCACUUGGAGUUUGCCAAAAGUCACCUAAAGACUCUC